AGGGUUCGAUUCUGGCUCAGGAUGAACGCUGGCGGCGUGCUUAACACAUGCAAGUCGAACGGAGAUAGCGGAGAGCUUGCUUUCUGCUAUCUUAGUGGCGGACGGGUGAGUAACGCGUGGGUAACCUACCCUGUACAGGGGGAUAGCAGCUGGAAACGGCUGAUAAAACCGCAUAAAACGGCAGUACCGCAUGGUACAACCGUCAAAUAUUCAUAGGUACAGGAUGGGCCCGCGUCUGAUUAGCCAGUUGGUGGGGUAACGGCCUACCAAAGCGACGAUCAGUAGCCGGCCUGAGAGGGUGAACGGCCACAUUGGGACUGAGACACGGCCCAAACUCCUACGGGAGGCAGCAGGUGGGGAAUAUUGGACAAUGGGGGAAACCCUGAUCCAGCGACGCCCGCGUGAGUGAAGAAGUAUCUCGGUAUGUAAAGCUCUAUCAGCAGGGAAGAUGAUGACGGUACCUGACUAAGAAGCACCGGCUAAAUACGUGCCAGCCGCAGC
Molecule: ribosomal RNA, 501 nt
Filed under: uncultured bacterium
Lineage: Bacteria
Description: bacterial SSU rRNA
Rfam family: Bacterial small subunit ribosomal RNA
Source: RNAcentral